Molecule: ribosomal RNA, 422 nt
Filed under: Megophrys maosonensis
Lineage: Eukaryota; Metazoa; Chordata; Amphibia; Anura; Megophryidae
Description: Xenophrys maosonensis partial 12S ribosomal RNA
Rfam family: Bacterial small subunit ribosomal RNA
Source: RNAcentral
AAGACUUGGCGGUGCCCUACACCACCUAGAGGAGCCUGUUCUAUAAUCGAUAAUCCCCGAUCAACCUCACCAUCCCUUGCCAAUACCGCCUGUAUACCUCCGUCGUCAACUGACCCCUCAAGGGAAAUAGUUGGUUUAAUGGCUUAUCACCAGAAAGUCAGGUCAAGGUGCAGCGUAUGAGAUGGGAAGAAAUGGGCUACAUUUUCUACCUUUAGACUACACGAAAGAUCACUAUGAAAUCUGAUUGGAAGGCGGAUUUAGCAGUAAAAAGAGAUUAGAGCGCUCUUUUUAAGUUGGCCCUAGGGCGCGCACACACCGCCCGUCACCCUCUUCAACUCCAAAUUCACAUAUUUAUAAUCUCCCUCAAAGAGAACAGAAGAGGCAAGUCGUAACAUGGUAAGUCCACCGGAAGGUGGACUUGG